GACGAACGCUGGCGGCGUGCCUAAUACAUGCAAGUAGAACGCUGAAGGAGGAGCUUGCUUCUCUGGAUGAGUUGCGAACGGGUGAGUAACGCGUAGGUAACCUGCCUGGUAGCGGGGGAUAACUAUUGGAAACGAUAGCUAAUACCGCAUAAGAGUAGAUGUUGCAUGACAUUUGCUUAAAAGGUGCAAUUGCAUCACUACCAGAUGGACCUGCGUUGUAUUAGCUAGUUGGUGGGGUAACGGCUUACCAAGGCGACGAUACAUAGCCGACCUGAGAGGGUGAUCGGCCACACUGGGACUGAGACACGGCCCAGACUCCUACGGGAGGCAGCAGUACGGAAUCUUCGGCAAUGGACGGAAGUCUGACCGAGCAACGCCGCGUGAGUGAAGAAGGUUUUCGGAUCGUAAAGCUCUGUUGUAAGAGAAGAACGAGUGUGAGAGUGGAAAGUUCACACUGUGACGGUAUCUUACCAGAAAGGGACGGCUAACUACGUG
RNAcentral lists this ribosomal RNA (495 nucleotides) under uncultured bacterium. RNAcentral describes it as "partial 16S ribosomal RNA". It matches the Rfam family "Bacterial small subunit ribosomal RNA", at positions 28 to 507 of the family's 1533-position model. The record is from RNAcentral.